Molecule: ribosomal RNA, 488 nt
Filed under: uncultured bacterium
Lineage: Bacteria
Description: partial 16S ribosomal RNA
Rfam family: Bacterial small subunit ribosomal RNA
Source: RNAcentral
GACGAACGCUGGCGGCGUGCUUAACACAUGCAAGUCGAACGGAAAGGCCCCCAUCUUGGUGGGGGUGCUCGAGUGGCGAACGGGUGAGUAACACGUGGGUGAUCUGCCCUGUACUUCGGGAUAAGCUUGGGAAACUGGGUCUAAUACCGGAUAGGACCAUGGUUUAGUGUCUCAUGGUGGAAAGAUUAUUGUUUUGGUGCAGGAUGAGCUCGCGGCCUAUCAGCUUGUUGGUGGGGUAAUGGCCUACCAAGGCGUCGACGGGUAGCCGGCCUGAGAGGGUGGACGGCCACAUUGGGACUGAGAUACGGCCCAGACUCCUACGGGAGGCAGCAGUGGGGAAUAUUGCACAAUGGGCGCAAGCCUGAUGCAGCGACGCCGCGUGGGGGAUGACGGCCUUCGGGUUGUAAACUCCUUUCGUGAGGGACGAAGCCGCACUUUUUCUGGGUGUGGUGACGGUACCUUUGUUAAGAAGCACCGGCUAACUACGU